RNAcentral lists this long non-coding RNA (1361 nucleotides) under Ursus maritimus (polar bear). Its description in RNAcentral is "lncRNA (ENSUMAG00000019298.1)". Lineage: Eukaryota; Metazoa; Chordata; Mammalia; Carnivora; Ursidae. The record is from RNAcentral.
AUGAACACAUCAUUGGCAGCCAGUUCUCUUCCUGCACCACAUCAUCUGCCUGGAAUAAUUGUGUCCAAGAUGGUUUAUCAGCUGCGCUCAGCACGCGUCCCUCCCCGCGGCAGUGGAUAUCCUACGGACUCCUCUGUUGUGGUUAAUUUUUUUUUGGCUCACGCGGAAUCUUAUUAUCGAGUUGGUGGCGAGUUUAACAUUAGGAAUGCCAAGGAAUGCCAGUCCUUGGCCCUGUUCACGGUGCGGGCAGGGAUGGCAGGUGCUAUCUCUGUUAAGCUAAUGAGGCGGGGAAAGCGCGGGAGAGCAGGUGCGGCCAGUCGGCCAUCCCUGGAGUGUCUGCGUUGCCCGGGCAACUUCUCCCACAACUGUAAAUGGCAGUGUUUUGCUUUUCAACAUUCUUCCCUCCGUCCUGUGUUAGCAAAUCCACUGGCCUCUCCUCUUUAUUUUCUUGGAGAGUAUGUAGAAUGAACUUGAACAAACUGCCAUCAUGGCAAUUCAAGACGUGGCUUCUCUUUCCAUUUCUACUGCCGCUGGUUUGAUUCCCCCCCCCCUUUUUUUCUUGGUGGUUGUACAGAAUUGAAAGCACAGUUCUGCAUGUGAAAUUACCAACACAAAGCAGCAAAUUGCCAUAGGGCCCGGACAAAGAAGGUGGAUUAUUGGAGGAUAUGUUUUUAAAAUUUGGGGCUGGGGGCAGGUGGUGCUGAGACUCGAAUUUCUAGCUGAAUAACAGGGUCCCUUGAGAAAUAGAGAAAGUGUUUGUAAAAUCAGCACUGUGAAUUCAGAAAAGGAUUCCUGCACCUGUUUGCCUUAUUAGAUUGUUAAACUUAAGUCAAAGGACAGGGAAAUAAUAGAUAAUAAUAAUAGGGAAAUAAUCCACAGAAGAGAUUUUUCAAAAAUGGAGAGCAGGGCAUACAGGGCUGAGUGGGAGCAGAGGGAGACAUGGCACCUUUGCUUAGAGGAGGAAACAUUCAUCAGCCAGGUAAGCUUGCUGUUGGUUUUCACCAGACCACCUUCCAUAAGUGAUCACGGAAUAUGAUGAGUUAAAUGUAGUGUUUAGCUUCUUAAUGUACAGACGCACACGUGUUCCAGCAAGGCCUGAAGCUAGCCCACUAGUCUUCAAGAAGUACUAUUCGGCAGUGGUUAAGAAUCUGGCCUCUAGGGGCUCCUGGGUGGCUCAGUCGUUAAGCGUCUGCCUUCGGCUCAGGGCGUGAUCCCGGAGUCCUGGGAUCGAGCCCCACAUCAGGCUCCCUGCUCUGCUGGGAGCCUGCUUCUUCCUCCCCCACUCCCCCUGCUUGUGUUCCCUCUCUCGCUGGCUGUCUCUGUUAAAUAAAUAAAAUUAAAAAAAAAUUAAAAUAAAAAAA